UCCGUAGGCGGUGCGGCAAGUCGGGAGUGAAAUCUCUGGGCUUAACUCAGAGGCUGCUUCCGAAACUGCCGUGCUCGAGUGUGAGAGAGGCGAGUGGAAUUGCGGGUGUAGCGGUGAAAUGCGUAGAUAUCCGCAGGAACAUCCGAGGCGAAAGCGGCUCGCUGGAUCACAACUGACGCUGAGGGACGAAAGCUAGGGGAGCAAACAGGAUUAGAUACCCUGGUAGUCCUAGCCCUAAACCAUCAGGACUUGGGGUUUGCCCUGUACGGGGCAAGUCCCGGAGCUAACGCGUUAAGUCCUGCGCCUGGGGAGUACGGUCGCAAGGCUGAA
RNAcentral lists this ribosomal RNA (330 nucleotides) under uncultured bacterium. RNAcentral's name for it is "bacterial SSU rRNA". It matches the Rfam family "Bacterial small subunit ribosomal RNA", at positions 568 to 898 of the family's 1533-position model. The record is from RNAcentral.